Cyprinus carpio carpio is the source of this 2301-nucleotide long non-coding RNA. The record is from Ensembl. NCBI's taxonomy places the organism in Eukaryota, Metazoa, Chordata, Actinopteri, Cypriniformes, Cyprinidae.
ACGCUGUGGCAAAGUCCUUUGAACUAAAAUCUGUGAAGAACGGGAAAAAAAAAAAAAGUCACUUCUGGCCUUAGCUGUAUCCCUUCUAGCCUCAACCUUCAAAGUAUGGCAGUGUCACAAUGGUUGUAAAAACACUUUGUUUUUGUUUGUUUUGUUUAUUAACUUAUACCUUGCCUCCUGGUGGUGAACAACACCUGUCUACUGAACCCCAGGAAACUGAAGUUUGAGACCCCUUGUUAACAACUUCUCAUUUUUAGUCCAGAGAAUGUGAGAGAGUAACUGGCAGGAUAUUUCAUGAAUAGGCCUUUCUUUAAAAUAUGGCAUAUAUUAUUUGAGGUUUAAAGGACCAGGACGUUUAAAUUUAUUCUACAUUCUCAAAGAAGCCUUUUUUGCAUCUUGAGCCAAUCUUUAAUAGCUGCACUCUUUUUUCAGUCAAAUAAUAAGUUGAAAGGAAAAGUAGAGGCUAUAUUAGCCCUCAGAGGUCUGUUAGCCACAGCACCGAAGCGAAUAGCUAAAUUUCCUGGAUCAUCAUUUAUAGCCAUUCACCACACACAAAAGAUUACUUUGGAAACUUUCAUUGAAUUUCAUAAACCAUAGGAGGUCAUUCAGUGUAAAUGUCACAAGGUGACGAUCUUUAGGGGCGGAACCAAAAUUCGGGAAGUUUGGUUCCGCCCGGAAGUGUUUCCGCCCGGACCGGAAAAACAGAACACCGGAACUUCCGGUAGCGCCGUAAGAAGGAAAAUCAGGGAAUUCGAUGCACCUGUGCCUAGUUAGGGACAGCGGUUGGUGAUUGGAGGAUACGCUGGACAAGGCAGUACUUAAGGCCAAGUUAUUUCACAGUCUGAGCGUUCUUUCUGGUGUGUGUGAAGCACUGUGUUGUGCCCGUCUUGGUGCGCUGCUGGCGGCUGUCUAACUCUCUCUCUCCCUCAGGCUGGAAUUGUAUGAUUGUGAAGACAUCGCGAACCUUAAAGGUUGAGAAGUGAACGGAUUAUACGGCGAACUGAGACGACGUGAAAAAGGGGAUUGGAAGCGGCAUUGAUGUGAGUACUAAGAGCCAGUCGAAAGUGCCCUGUAUAUUGACCUGGCGUUGUGUAGAUCUCUCCAGGAGGAGGAGGGCGGCCCUACCCCUAAUAUAGCGUGGUGGGAGAGCCGAAGGAAUACUUAUUGAAGUAGUCACAACGACGACAUCACUAGCUAGGCCGCAUAUUCCAUCGCCAGAUCCGAACCAAGCGAAGUGAAGGAAGACGGGUGUCCUUUUCGUACACUGAGUGUGGUGGGUGAGUCUUCAUGCUGUGAAAACCUAUAAUUUUGACGUGGUGCUGUAUAUUGCUGUGGGCUGCUGUGUAUUGCCGUGUGUCCUGUCAGAUAAACCCCCGCCUUCACGCACUUCGUCGCGGGAGGACAAGGAGACUGCUGGUCCUAGCCUAGUUCAGUACAGUAUAUGUUGUGAGCGUGCUUCAGAUCUCCGGAGAUAGCACGGUACGCUGUGUCCAGCCCAGAGGUGAAAGCCAUCCAAAGCAGAGUAACUGUGCUUUGUGUCCAAGUUGAUACCUGUGGAGAGAAAAGGAAAGAGAGAGUGAGUAACACAAGGAGAACCAGAGGGAACCUGUACUUACAGUACGCUGUGUUCAGCCCAGAGGUGAGAGCCAUUCAAAGCAAACUAACUGUGCUAUUGUGCCUAAGUUGAUACCUGUGGAGAGAAAAGGAGAGAGAGUGGGUAACACGAGGAGAGACCGAGGAAACCUGUACUUACGCCGCUGCCUGUGGAGAAAGAGAAAGCGAGUGAGCACCCAAGGAACGAACUGUGUGAACCAGUACUUACUGUGAGCUGCAAUCAGCGAAGAGGUGAGAGCAAAACCAAGCCGAAUUAACUGUGCUUUUGUGUCCCAGCCGUUGCCUGUGGAGGAAGAGAAAGAGAGUGAGCACCUCGAGAACGAACUGUGUGAACCAGUACUUACCGUGAGCUGUAUUCAGCGAAGAGGAGGAAGAAGGAGGGCGCUACGGAUACCUAAGACUCAGGCCGGGGCCCGAGUCCCACGCCCCGGAUCCCCGUGGCCCCCUUGCUCCCUGACCUCUUCCCGGCCAUAGCCCAUCUGGAGGGCCGAGUCAGAGUUUAGUUUUAAUUGCCCUUUCCCUAUUCCCCAAGCUAUUUUUAAAUAUUUAAAUAAAGAUUGUUUUAUCACUUACUUGUUCUCGUGUUGUUUGGCCAUUGGGUUGGCUUUGGGGACCUCCUCGAGGUGGAAGUUGAGAAGGGGUGUGGCUUAGUCAAAGCAUAGCCAGCCCCUGGGUGUGACAUAAACA